This 500-nucleotide ribosomal RNA is filed under the name uncultured bacterium. Its description in RNAcentral is "bacterial SSU rRNA". It matches the Rfam family "Bacterial small subunit ribosomal RNA", at positions 30 to 521 of the family's 1533-position model. The record is from RNAcentral.
AUUGAACGCUGGCGGAAUGCUUUACACAUGCAAGUCGAACGGCAGCACGGGGCAACCUGGUGGCGAGUGGCGAACGGGUGAGUAAUACAUCGGAACGUGCCCAAUCGUGGGGGAUAACGUAGCGAAAGUUACGCUAAUACCGCAUACGAUCUACGGAUGAAAGCGGGGGAUCGCAAGACCUCGCGCGAGUGGAGCGGCCGAUGUCAGAUUAGGUAGUUGGUGGGGUAAAGGCUCACCAAGCCAACGAUCUGUAGCUGGUCUGAGAGGACGACCAGCCACACUGGAACUGAGACACGGUCCAGACUCCUACGGGAGGCAGCAGUGGGGAAUUUUGGACAAUGGGCGCAAGCCUGAUCCAGCCAUUCCGCGUGCAGGAUGAAGGCCUUCGGGUUGUAAACUGCUUUUGUACGGUAACGAAACGGACGAGCUCUAAUACAGUUUGCUAAUGACGGUACCGUAAGAAUAAGACACCGGCUAACUAACGUGCCAGCAGCCGCGGU